CUAGCGACUUCAGAGUUUGAUCCUGGCUCAGGAUGAACGCUGGCGGCGUGCAUAACACAUUCAAGUCGAACGGACUUAGAGGGGCUUGCUCCUUUAAGUUAGUGGCGGACGGGUGAGUAACGCGUGAGUAACCUGCCUAUACGAGGGGAAUAACACAGGGAAACUUGUGCUAAUACCACAUAACAUGUAGAAUUCGCAUGGAUACUGCAUCAAAGAGCAAUCGCGUAUAGAUGGACUCGCGUCUGAUUAGAAAAAUAGUUGGUGAGGUAACGGCUCACCAAGUCGACGAUCAGUAGCCGAACUGAGAGGUUGAACGGCCACAUUGGAACUGAGAAACGGUCCAG
This 344-nucleotide ribosomal RNA is filed under the name uncultured bacterium. RNAcentral's name for it is "bacterial SSU rRNA". It matches the Rfam family "Bacterial small subunit ribosomal RNA", at positions 1 to 334 of the family's 1533-position model. The record is from RNAcentral.